Molecule: ribosomal RNA, 1527 nt
Filed under: Klebsiella pneumoniae
Lineage: Bacteria; Pseudomonadati; Pseudomonadota; Gammaproteobacteria; Enterobacterales; Enterobacteriaceae
Description: bacterial SSU rRNA
Rfam family: Bacterial small subunit ribosomal RNA
Source: RNAcentral
AGAGUUUGAUCAUGGCUCAGAUUGAACGCUGGCGGCAGGCCUAACACAUGCAAGUCGAGCGGUAGCACAGAGAGCUUGCUCUCGGGUGACGAGCGGCGGACGGGUGAGUAAUGUCUGGGAAACUGCCUGAUGGAGGGGAUAACUACUGGAAACGGUAGCUAAUACCGCAUAACGUCGCAAGACCAAAGUGGGGGACCUUCGGGCCUCAUGCCAUCAGAUGUGCCCAGAUGGGAUUAGCUAGUAGGUGGGGUAACGGCUCACCUAGGCGACGAUCCCUAGCUGGUCUGAGAGGAUGACCAGCCACACUGGAACUGAGACACGGUUCAGACUCCUACGGGAGGCAGCAGUGGGGAAUAUUGCACAAUGGGCGCAAGCCUGAUGCAGCCAUGCCGCGUGUGUGAAGAAGGCCUUCGGGUUGUAAAGCACUUUCAGCGGGGAGGAAGGCGUUAAGGUUAAUAACCUUGGCGAUUGACGUUACCCGCAGAAGAAGCACCGGCUAACUCCGUGCCAGCAGCCGCGGUAAUACGGAGGGUGCAAGCGUUAAUCGGAAUUACUGGGCGUAAAGCGCACGCAGGCGGUCUGUCAAGUCGGAUGUGAAAUCCCCGGGCUCAACCUGGGAACUGCAUUCGAAACUGGCAGGCUAGAGUCUUGUAGAGGGGGGUAGAAUUCCAGGUGUAGCGGUGAAAUGCGUAGAGAUCUGGAGGAAUACCGGUGGCGAAGGCGGCCCCCUGGACAAAGACUGACGCUCAGGUGCGAAAGCGUGGGGAGCAAACAGGAUUAGAUACCCUGGUAGUCCACGCCGUAAACGAUGUCGAUUUGGAGGUUGUGCCCUUGAGGCGUGGCUUCCGGAGCUAACGCGUUAAAUCGACCGCCUGGGGAGUACGGCCGCAAGGUUAAAACUCAAAUGAAUUGACGGGGGCCCGCACAAGCGGUGGAGCAUGUGGUUUAAUUCGAUGCAACGCGAAGAACCUUACCUGGUCUUGACAUCCACAGAACUUUCCAGAGAUGGAUUGGUGCCUUCGGGAACUGUGAGACAGGUGCUGCAUGGCUGUCGUCAGCUCGUGUUGUGAAAUGUUGGGUUAAGUCCCGCAACGAGCGCAACCCUUAUCCUUUGUUGCCAGCGGUUAGGCCGGGAACUCAAAGGAGACUGCCAGUGAUAAACUGGAGGAAGGUGGGGAUGACGUCAAGUCAUCAUGGCCCUUACGACCAGGGCUACACACGUGCUACAAUGGCAUAUACAAAGAGAAGCGACCUCGCGAGAGCAAGCGGACCUCAUAAAGUAUGUCGUAGUCCGGAUUGGAGUCUGCAACUCGACUCCAUGAAGUCGGAAUCGCUAGUAAUCGUAGAUCAGAAUGCUACGGUGAAUACGUUCCCGGGCCUUGUACACACCGCCCGUCACACCAUGGGAGUGGGUUGCAAAAGAAGUAGGUAGCUUAACCUUCGGGAGGGCGCUUACCACUUUGUGAUUCAUGACUGGGGUGAAGUCGUAACAAGGUAACCGUAGGGGAACCUGCGGUUGGAUCACCU